GUCGUCUUCUUCGCCUGUCUACCCAAAAACCCUCGCCCUGAACAUAAAUGGAAACCAAGCAAAUUCUUUCACCACAAAUCUCACUCCAAGAAAAUCAUGGCCCAAAAUAGUACUGCUUGCAAUUUUAUCAUUUCAACCUCUUAAACCCAGUACUGAUUCAAACCCUUCUACGAUAAACAGAUCACCAAGAAAUAUAGUCUUCAAUGGCCGUGCAUGAAAGAUCCUACACAUUCAGUACUAACCUUUUGUAACAGUUAUAGAGAAGGCAUUUUUUGGUUUUUCUUGAAGAGAAUUGCCUAUACGAUUCAGAAGCUGAGGUUGAAAUAGUUGAUAUCAAUCUACCUCUUUAUAUAGAGGUAGAAUUCGAACAGGACUCAACCUAGAGAAACGAAGAGUCCUCAUUGGAACAAUGUCCUCAUUUAAAGGCCUUUAUUUUAAAUUUUAUUAAUAUCAGUUUGAAUUUGUAAUGUAUAAUGCUAUUUAUUAUCAGAUGAUAAAUGAUGUAGUUUAGAAUACCAAGAGUUCUUCAUUUAA
Ipomoea nil (Japanese morning glory) is the source of this 534-nucleotide long non-coding RNA. RefSeq lists it as uncharacterized. The transcript is spliced from 2 exons. Lineage: Eukaryota; Viridiplantae; Streptophyta; Magnoliopsida; Solanales; Convolvulaceae. The record is from RefSeq and is a predicted model, not a curated record.